AACGAACGCUGGCGGCAUGCCUAACACAUGCAAGUCGAACGAGACCUUCGGGUCUAGUGGCGCACGGGUGCGUAACGCGUGGGAACCUGCCCUUAGGUUCGGAAUAACUCCCCGAAAGGGGUGCUAAUACCGGAUAAUGUCUUCGGACCAAAGAUUUAUCGCCUUUGGAUGGGCCCGCGUUGGAUUAGCUAGUUGGUAGGGUAAAAGCCUACCAAGGCGACGAUCCAUAGCUGGUCUGAGAGGAUGAUCAGCCACACUGGGACUGAGACACGGCCCAGACUCCUACGGGAGGCGGCAGUGGGGAAUAUUGGACAAUGGGCGAAAGCCUGAUCCAGCAAUGCCGCGUGAGUGAUGAAGGCCUUAGGGUUGUAAAGCUCUUUUACCCGGGAUGAUAAUGACAGUACCGGGAGAAUAAGCUCGGGCUAACUCCGUG
This 433-nucleotide ribosomal RNA is filed under the name uncultured bacterium. Its description in RNAcentral is "partial 16S ribosomal RNA". It matches the Rfam family "Bacterial small subunit ribosomal RNA", at positions 29 to 507 of the family's 1533-position model. The record is from RNAcentral.